UCCCCGAUAGCUCAAUUGGUAGAGCGCCGGACUGUUAAUCCGUAGGUUGUAGGUUCGAGUCCUACUCGGGGAGC
RNAcentral lists this transfer RNA (74 nucleotides) under Thalassoglobus neptunius. Its description in RNAcentral is "Planctomycetes bacterium KOR42 tRNA-Asn". It matches the Rfam family "tRNA". From Rfam's summary of the family: Transfer RNA (tRNA) molecules are approximately 80 nucleotides in length. Lineage: Bacteria; Pseudomonadati; Planctomycetota; Planctomycetia; Planctomycetales; Planctomycetaceae. The record is from RNAcentral.